RNAcentral lists this ribosomal RNA (949 nucleotides) under Lactarius sp. (in: basidiomycete fungi). RNAcentral's name for it is "Lactarius sp. (in: Russulaceae) partial large subunit ribosomal RNA". It matches the Rfam family "Eukaryotic large subunit ribosomal RNA", at positions 36 to 964 of the family's 3401-position model. The record is from RNAcentral. Lineage: Eukaryota; Fungi; Basidiomycota; Agaricomycetes; Russulales; Russulaceae.
UAGCAUAUCAAUAAGCGGAGGAAAAGAAACUAACAAGGAUUCCCCUAGUAACUGCGAGUGAAGCGGGAAAAGCUCAAAUUUAAAAUCUGGCGGUCUUUGGCCGUCCGAGUUGUAAUUUAGAGAAGCGUCUUCCGCGCCGGACCGUGCACAAGUCUCCUGGAAUGGAGCGUCAUAGAGGGUGAGAAUCCCGUCUUUGGCACGGAUGCCUGUGCUUCUGCGAUGCGCUCUCAAAGAGUCGAGUUGUUUGGGAAUGCAGCUCAAAAUGGGUGGUGAACUCCAUCUAAAGCUAAAUAUUGGCGAGAGACCGAUAGCGAACAAGUACCGUGAGGGAAAGAUGAAAAGCACUUUGGAAAGAGAGUGAAACAGUACGUGAAAUUGUUGAAAGGGAAACGCUUGAAGUCAGUCGCGUCGACCGAGACUCAGCCUUGCCUUGGCUUGGUGUACUUCUCGGCCCGACGGGUCAGCAUCAAUUUUGCCCCUCGGAUAAUGACAAGGGAAAGGUGGCACCUUUGCGGGUGUGUUAUAGUCUCCUGUCGCAUGCGAGGGGUGGGAUUGAGGAACUCAGCGCGCACCUUGGUGUCGGGGCUUCGGCCCACGUCACGCGCUUAGGAUGCUGGCGUAAUGGCUUUAAACGACCCGUCUUGAAACACGGACCAAGGAGUCCAACACGCCCGCGAGUGUUCGGGUGGAAAACCCGUGCGCGCAAUGAAAGUGAAAGUUGGGACCUCUGUCGUGGAGGGCACCGACGCCCGGACCAGACCUUCUGUGAUGGAUCUGCGGUAGAGCGUGUGUGUUGGGACCCGAAAGAUGGUGAACUAUGCCUGAAUAGGGUGAAGCCAGAGGAAACUCUGGUGGAGGCUCGUAGCGAUUCUGACGUGCAAAUCGAUCGUCAAAUUUGGGUAUAGGGGCGAAAGACUAAUCGAACCAUCUAGUAGCUGGUUCCUGCCGA